RNAcentral lists this long non-coding RNA (1191 nucleotides) under Phaseolus vulgaris (common bean). RNAcentral describes it as "long non-coding RNA (PVUL_LNC002994)". The record is from RNAcentral. Lineage: Eukaryota; Viridiplantae; Streptophyta; Magnoliopsida; Fabales; Fabaceae.
UUUCUUAUUCAGUAUGCGACUCAAAACCUUAUGAGCAGCCACUGAAAAUGUGUAAUUGAGAGUAUUCCAAGUCACUUACUAUUCCACUUCCAAGUGUGGCUACUACUCAUCUGCAACUUAUUCACGGGGUUUCUCAUAAUUAUGGUCACGAAUGAAUCACAAGCAGAAAAUAAUAUGGAGAAAAUUGUGCAGUUUUAGCUCUCCCAAUUGGAGCAUCUAUCACCCUCUCCUCCGCGGUUUCCCCUGCAUAAGUGAGUCUGCUGGAGCACAGAUUGCAUGGUGCAGGGUCUUUUCAAAAGUGAAGCUAAGGAUGAGGGUGCUGGUCUUUUUGCUGAUGCAGGCUUUCUUUUGGAAACCAAUGCAAAACAAACGUGAAGCUAAGUAGAAAGGGUGCAGUUUUUUCUUGUGUUUAUGACCAAUUAUGCUGAAUGGUGUUCAGAAAUUUGAGAGGAUUUUGGUGCCUUUUCAAUUGUUAGUGCAGGUAGAUCAAGCCUUCGACAAUAUACAUGUAUCUUCCCAAGAGGAUGCUGUUUUGAUUAACUGGGGCAGCAGAAGGAAUGACUACAUAGAGGAGGCAAUGCUAUUUGGGUGUGUGGAGAUGGAUGUGGCAGAGGUUUUAUUUCUCAAUUCUCACCUCAAUUUUAUAAUUUCGCUAGUAAAUUUUAUUAACUUUUUAUUUUUAUUUUUUUAACUCAAUCUUCUCACUUACUUAAUUACUUACCUAAAAUCUUCUUAGGAUUUUUAUGUAGGUUAUGUAGAGGCAAUGGUGUGCUGAUUUUGUGAUAGUAUGGGGUCACUGGCAAUGCAAGAGUAUUAAGAGGGUUAUGGGAAUGCGUGAAAAAUUCAUUGGUUUUGAUCUUAUCUUUAGCAGAUAUAAUAUAAUGAGAUUCGGUUAUGUAGGUUAUGUAGAUAUUGUUGAUUUUGGUUUAAUCCUAAGUCGCACAUCGAUGGGUUUAUUAUUUGGGAAGGAGGUUUGAGGGUUAUAAAAUAACAUCUCCUCCUUCACUGUUAAAUAUUUCAAUUUGUAAUAUAUUCUCCCAUAAUAAUAAAAGUGGGCUGGUUCAGCUCUGCUCGGAGAUUAGGCUAAAUUGGUCGAACUCCGUUAACAAUUUUCUGGUGUGUUUUUUCCUCUUUAUCUCUUUUAUUAUUCCGCUCUGUUUAUUCAAUAUUAUUUGUCGGGUAGCUCUGUUA